UACGUAGGGGGCAAGCGUUGUCCGGAAUCAUUGGGCGUAAAGCGCGUGUAGGCGGCUUGGUAAGUCUGCUCUGAAAGCCCGGGGCUCAACCCAGGAAGUGCACUCGAUACUGCGUGGCUCGAGUACUGGAGAGGUUGGUGGAAUUCUCGGUGUAGAGGUGAAAUUCGUAGAUAUCGAGAGGAACACCGGUGGCGAAGGCGGCCAACUGGACAGAUACUGACGCUGAGACACGAAAGCGUGGGGAGCAAACAGG
RNAcentral lists this ribosomal RNA (253 nucleotides) under uncultured bacterium. RNAcentral's name for it is "partial 16S ribosomal RNA". It matches the Rfam family "Bacterial small subunit ribosomal RNA", at positions 524 to 776 of the family's 1533-position model. The record is from RNAcentral.